GGCCUGGCCGGGCGGUCCGCCUAACGGCGUGUACUGUCUGGCCGGGCCUUACCUCCUGGUGAACCGGGGUGCCCUUUAUUGGGCGCCCCGGGGAACCAGGACCUUUACCUUGAGAAAAUUAGAGUGUUCAAAGCAGGCGCACGCUUGCAUAGAUUAGCAUGGAAUAAUGGAAUAGGACCU
Molecule: ribosomal RNA, 180 nt
Filed under: uncultured Glomeromycotina
Lineage: Eukaryota; Fungi; Glomeromycota
Description: partial small subunit ribosomal RNA
Source: RNAcentral